UGAUUUCCUUGCUUAUUAGGUAGGAAUAAUUAAUCCCUACUACUUAUGAGGUAAUUCGUAUAAAAUGCUUAGUACCUGACGUGGGCACUUUGGAGAUGCUUAAUAAACAUUAGGUGUUUUGAUGGUAAUGGGUUCUGAGAAAGGGAGGAAACUGUUUUCUUCCACGAAUUUCUGUAAUUAUAGGAAGUACACCCUGAUAGUUAACACUUCUUCAGAACUUAUUAUAUAUCUGUUGCUGUUAUAAGUGUUUUGCCUAUAUUUAUUAACUCUUUUAAUCCUCUUAACAAUCUUGUGAGGUAAGUACUAUUAUUAUUAUUUCCAUUUUCCAGACGAGAACUGAGGUACAGAGAGGUCAAGGGACUUGUCCAAGGCCAUACAGCAAAUAAUGGAUUUUGAAUCCAGAUCGGCUGCUCCAGAGACUGUGUUAUAACCACUGGCCCCAGCCUGUUCCCCUUCAGCCCUGUUGCAGUUUUCAUCUUCCAAGAAAGAGAGCUGAGUUUGCAGAGCAACCAAUUAACCUGAAUUCCAAAGAAGGACGGGAGCCUCCGAGAAGAAAUGGGACACAGGCGCUGGCACGCUUGUGAAACAGGAGGAAGACGGGGCCUCCAUUCAGACAGGUUGAUGUUUUUCCCUGAAGAAAUGUAAUUAAUCCAAAGUAAGGAAAAAAAAAAAA
Lynx canadensis (Canada lynx) is the source of this 673-nucleotide long non-coding RNA. RefSeq lists it as uncharacterized. NCBI's taxonomy places the organism in Eukaryota, Metazoa, Chordata, Mammalia, Carnivora, Felidae. The transcript is spliced from 3 exons. The record is from RefSeq and is a predicted model, not a curated record.